Molecule: ribosomal RNA, 393 nt
Filed under: uncultured bacterium
Lineage: Bacteria
Description: partial 16S ribosomal RNA
Rfam family: Bacterial small subunit ribosomal RNA
Source: RNAcentral
AUACGGAGGAUCCGAGCGUUAUCCGGAUUUAUUGGGUUUAAAGGGAGCGUAGGCGGAUUAUUAAGUCAGUUGUGAAAGUUUGCGGCUCAACCGUAAAAUUGCAGUUGAUACUGGUAGUCUUGAGUGCAGCAGAGGUAGGCGGAAUUCGUGGUGUAGCGGUGAAAUGCUUAGAUAUCACGAAGAACUCCGAUUGCGAAGGCAGCUUACUGGACUGUAACUGACGCUGAUGCUCGAAAGUGUGGGUAGCAAACAGGAUUAGAUACCCUGGUAGUCCACACAGUAAACGAUGAAUACUCGCUGUUUGCGAUAUACGGCAAGCGGCCAAGCGAAAGCAUUAAGUAUUCCACCUGGGGAGUACGCCGGCAACGGUGAUACUCAAAUGAAUUGACGGGG